Vicia villosa (hairy vetch) is the source of this 462-nucleotide long non-coding RNA. RefSeq lists it as uncharacterized. The transcript is spliced from 3 exons. The record is from RefSeq and is a predicted model, not a curated record. NCBI's taxonomy places the organism in Eukaryota, Viridiplantae, Streptophyta, Magnoliopsida, Fabales, Fabaceae.
GGUAAACCUAAGAGGGAGAGAAGAAGAACUCAUGGGCAAAAGCUAUUUUCGCAACUAUUUGGAAGCCUUCACAAAAUGGGUCAUAACUUCCUGCUCGUAACUCCAAAUCAGGGAGGUUCUCGAAGAGGGAGAUAAGUGAGUUUGAAGAUUGGAGAUUCUUGCUGAAUUUGGAGAAAAAGGGCUUACGGGUUUGAUGGAGAAGAAGGGGAAAAGUCCAUAUUCUUGGCUAAGAUUAAGGAUUAGCGGCUUGUGCUGGGUGAGGAUAACUCGUAGAGUUACUUCGUUUAGUUCGGUUGUGUCGGUGUCAUGCUCUGCUCUUGUAACACUGGGGGACGGGUGUGUCUAGAGUUGGAUGAUAACUCUAGUUUUGGUUUUGUUGUUGAAUAAUGUUGGUUAUGCCUUAAACAUGGUAGAUGAUGGUUUUGAUUAUUCAACUAAUAAAGUAUUCCGCUGUGUUUUAAA